RNAcentral lists this ribosomal RNA (428 nucleotides) under uncultured archaeon. RNAcentral's name for it is "bacterial SSU rRNA". It matches the Rfam family "Archaeal small subunit ribosomal RNA", at positions 474 to 903 of the family's 1478-position model. The record is from RNAcentral.
UACCAGCCCUCCGAGUGGUAGGGAUGAUUAUUGGGCUUAAAGCGUCCGUAGCCGGCUUAGCAAGUCUCCUGUUAAAUUCAGCGACCGAAUCGUUGAGCCGCGGGAGAUACUACUAGGCUAGGAGGCGGGAGAGGUCGACGGUACUUCUGGGGUAGGGGUGAAAUCCUAUAAUCCCGGGAGGACCACCAGUGGCGAAGGCUGUCGACUAGAACGCGCUCGACGGUGAGGGACGAAAGCUGGGGGAGCGAACCGGAUUAGAUACCCGGGUAGUCCCAGCUGUAAACGAUGCGGGCUAGGUGUUGGGGUGGCUACGUGCCACUUCAGUGCCGCAGGGAAGCCAUUAAGCCCGCCGCCUGGGGAGUACGGCCGCAAGGCUGAAACUUAAAGGAAUUGGCGGGGAGCACCACAAGGCGUGAAGCUUGAGGUUC